RNAcentral lists this ribosomal RNA (496 nucleotides) under uncultured bacterium. RNAcentral's name for it is "partial 16S ribosomal RNA". It matches the Rfam family "Bacterial small subunit ribosomal RNA", at positions 29 to 507 of the family's 1533-position model. The record is from RNAcentral.
AUGAACGCUGGCGGCGUGCCUAAUACCUGCAAGUCGAGCGAACGGACGAGAAGCUUGCUUCUCUGAUGUUAGCGGCGGACGGGUGAGUAACACGUGGAUAACCUACCUAUAAGACUGGGAUAACUUCGGGAAACCGGAGCUAAUACCGGAUGAUAUUUUGAACCGCAUGGUUCCAAAGUGAAAGACGGUCUUGCUGUCACUUAUAGAUGGAUCCGCGCUGCAUUAGCUAGUUGGUAAGGUAACGGCUUACCAAGGCAACGAUGCAUAGCCGACCUGAGAGGGUGAUCGGUCACACUGGAACUGAGACACGGUCCAGACUCCUACGGGAGGCAGCAGUAGGGAAUCUUCCGCAAUGGGCGAAAGCCUGACGGAGCAACGCCGCGUGAGUGAUGAAGGUCUUCGGAUCGUAAAACUCUGUUAUUAGGGAAGAACAUAUGUGUAAGUAACUGUGCACAUCUUGACGGUACCUAAUCAGAAAGCCACGGCUAACUACGUG